UAAGGGUGGGAUAAGGGGGAGAUAAGGGUGGGGUAUGGGUGCGAUAUGUGUGUGCUAAAUGUGUGAUAAGUGUGAGGUAUGUGUGUGAUAAUUGUGAGAUAUGGGUGUGAUAAGUGUGAGAUAUAGGAGAGGUGUGUGUGAUAAGUGUGUAAGAUAUUUGUGAGAUAUGUGUGUGAUAAGUGUGUAAGCUAUGUGUGAUAAGUGUGUGAUAAGUGUGAGAUAAAUGUGUGAUAUGUGUGUGUCAUUUUUGUACAUGAUGUGUGAGAUGUGUGUGAUUUUUGUGCAUGGUAUGUCUGUGUGAUAUAUUUCAUUUUUGUGUGUGACAUAUGUGUGAUUUCUAUGUGUGAGAUGUGCGCACACAUGAUGAGUGUGUCAGCCCGCCUGACCCGUGUUUCCGAGUGUGAUUUGUGUGUGUGCAAUCACGUGUGCUGUAACCACACGUGGUGUCUGUGUGUGCAUUCACAGGGUGCUUGUGACACCGUGCCGUGUUUGUGCAAGCACACAUCACGUGUGCUCAGGUGUGAGUUGUGUGCACGUGUUCAUGGGUGAUUUGUGCAUCUUCAGGCCUGCGUGGCGUGUGUGCACACGCGUGUGUGCAAGCAUGAUGUGUGUGGUCAUGUGUGCUUGAUUUAUGUGUUCAGGCAUUGUUCGUGUGUGCAGCUGUGUCUGGUGUGUCCACAUGUGUGAUUGGUGUGUUCAAGCAUGAUGUGUGUGCAUAGUGUGUGAUUGGUGUGUUCAGGUGUUGUUCAUGUGUGCAGCUGUGUCUGAUGUGUGUGCACAUGUGUGAUGUGUGUGUUCAAACAUGAUGUGUGUGCACAUGUGUGAUGUGUGUAUUCAGGUGUUAAUGUGUGCAGCUGUGUCUGAUGUUGUGUGCACACGUGUGAUCUGUGUGUUCAAACAUGAUGUGUGUGCACAGUGUGUCAUGUCUGUGUUCAGGCGUUGUUUGUGUGUGCAGCCGUGUCUGAUGUGUGUGCACAUGUGUGAUCUAUGUGUUCAGGUGUUGUUUGUGCCUGGUGCAUGUGCACACGUGUGAUUCAAACGUGACGUGUGCUCAAGCACACCUGGUGUGCGUGUGUUCAGGCACAACAUGUGUGCAAGCACUCAUAACGUGUUCAAGUGUACACGUGCUGUGUGUGCAAGCAUGAUUUGUGUGUGCAGGGGUGCAGGAUGCAUGUGCAGGUGUGUGUCAUAUAUGUGCAAGCAUGAUUUGUGUGUGUGCUUGAUGUGGGAGUGUGCGUGUGCCAUCCUCUUGGGGCAGUAGGGACUGAGCCACCCUGGGCUGGGCGUCCCAAACCCGGGCAUGGCACCCCAGACCCUGAACAGGGCACCCCAAACCCUGGGUGAGCACCCCAAACCAUGGGCUAAGCAUCCCAAACUCUGGUUAGGGCACCCCAAACCACAGGCUGAGCAUCCUAAACCCUGGGUAAGCACCUCAAACCCUGGUAGAACACCCCAAAUCCCAGACUGAGCACCCCAAACCCUGGCUUAGGGCACCCCAAACCCUGGCUAAGCACCCCAAAGCACAGGGUGAGGACCCCAAACCCUGAGUAGGUCACCCCAAACCACAGGGUGAGCAUCCCAGACCCCAUGUAGGGCACCCAAGCCCAAGACUGGGCACCCCAAACCACCAUCUGAGCAUCCUAAACCCUGGUUAGGGCACCCCAAACCCCAGGUAAGGCAUCCCAAAACACAGGCUGAGCACCCCAAAUCCUGGGUAAUCACCCCAAACCACAGGCUGAGCAUCUCAUACCCUGAGUAGGGCACCCCAAACCACAGCCUGGGCACCCCAAACUCUGGGUAGGGCACCCCAAACCCCAGGUAAGGCAUCCCAAAACACAGGCUGAGCACCCCAACCUCUAGGCAGGGCACUCCAGACCCUGAACAGGGCACCCCAAACCACAGGCUGAGCACCCCAAACCAUGGGCUAAGCACCCCAAACCCUGGGUAAACACCCCAAACUACAGGGUGAGCACCCCAAACUCUCUUUAGGGCACUCCAAAACACAGGCUGAGCGUCCUAAACCCUGGGUGAGCACCUCAAACCCUGGUAGAACACCCCAAAUCCCAGACUGAGCACUCCAAACCCUGGUAGGGAACCCCAAACCCUGGCUAAGCACCCCAAACCCUGGUAGAACACCCCAAACCCUGGGCUGAGCACCCCAAACCCUGGUAGAACACCCCAAACCCUGGCUAAGCACCCCAAACCCUGGUAGAACACCCCAAACCCUGGGCUGAGCACCCCAAACCCUGGUAGAACACCCCAAACCCUGGGCUGAGCACCCCAAACCCUGGGCUGAGCACCCCAAGCCCCAAGCUGAGCACUCCAAGCCCCGAUUAAAGCACCCAAGCCCCCCCAUAACCUCAUGCCGUGCCCAAAACCAGCAGCUGCCCUUUGCUGCCCAGUUCCUCCCAGUCUCUAACUGGGCACAGACCAAGUUUGGAGCUGAAACCCUAAAUUGAGCCAGGCAGGGGUGCCCAGACCCAUCCUGCCGUGGUGCCCAUGCCCAGCACGGGAGCUUGGGCACCUCUUAGGUGAUAAAAUAGCUUUACACUUUAUUAAAUAUAUUAAAUCUUAAUAAUUAAAUAGUUAUGUGGCAAAGCUGGUUCUGCUGAACGUCCCGUCCUGGUCAUGUCCAAACAUCUCCAAGCAUGGGGUGGAUUUUGGGAUGGCGAGGAGCAACGCAGGAUGAAGCUGGCCGAGCCAAAACACCAAAAUAUUGACAAAGAGCCAAGAGGGCACUUCUUUGGCAAGGGGGAUGCUGGCUGCUGGAACCGAUGAGCGUAAAAAUCAUCCCAAAUGAUUUUUUGACGUCUCCCCCCAGGGCUGGAUCACCACGGGACCCCCACACUGAUGCUCUGGAUCACUCUGGACGCCGCCAGCUCCUCAUUUUUGGGAUCGCCACAAUCCAGGCUGCGGAUCCGGCUUGCCCAGGGGCGGUGAGACGGGCCGAGGGGCUCUGGUACCAGCACUCCUUCAUGAUCUUCGCCAGCGCCGACAGAACCUGAGGGGGUGGCACAAAAAAAAAAAAAGAUAAAUACGAGGGUUAAUGGGCAGUAAUGGGUGG
Passer domesticus (house sparrow) is the source of this 3064-nucleotide long non-coding RNA. RefSeq lists it as uncharacterized. NCBI's taxonomy places the organism in Eukaryota, Metazoa, Chordata, Aves, Passeriformes, Passeridae. The record is from RefSeq and is a predicted model, not a curated record. The transcript is spliced from 2 exons.